RNAcentral lists this ribosomal RNA (206 nucleotides) under uncultured bacterium. RNAcentral describes it as "partial 16S ribosomal RNA". It matches the Rfam family "Bacterial small subunit ribosomal RNA", at positions 568 to 774 of the family's 1533-position model. The record is from RNAcentral.
UUCGUAGGUGGUGCGGUAAGUUGGGAGUGAAAUCUCUGGGCUUAACUCAGGGGCUGCUUUCAAAACUGCCGUGCUCGAGUGCGAGAGAGGCCAGUGGAAUUGCAGGUGUAGCGGUGAAAUGCGUAGAUAUCUGCAGGAACACCCGUGGCGAAGGCGGCUGGCUGGAUCGCAACUGACACUGAGGAACGAAAGCUAGGGAGCAAACA